GGUCAGGACGAACGCUGGCGGCGUGCCUAAUACAUGCAAGUCGAGCGAGGAGAUUCCUUCGGGAUGAUCCUAGCGGCGGACGGGUGAGUAACACGUGGGCAACCUGCCUCAUAGAGAGGAAUAGCCUUCCGAAAGGGAGAUUAAUACCUCAUAACAUUGCAGUUUCGCAUGGAACAGCAAUUAAAGGAGUAAUCCGCUAUGAGAUGGGCCCGCGGCGCAUUAGCUAGUUGGUGAGGUAACGGCUCACCAAGGCGACGAUGCGUAGCCGACCUGAGAGGGUGAUCGGCCACAUUGGGACUGAGACACGGCCCAGACUCCUACGGGAGGCAGCAGUGGGGAAUAUUGCACAAUGGGGGAAACCCUGAUGCAAGCAACGCCGCGUGAGUGAUGACGGCCUUCGGGUUGUAAAGCUCUGUCUUCAGGGACGAUAAUGACGGUACCUGAGGAGGAAGCCACGGCUAACUACGUGCCAGCCGCAGC
Molecule: ribosomal RNA, 480 nt
Filed under: uncultured bacterium
Lineage: Bacteria
Description: bacterial SSU rRNA
Rfam family: Bacterial small subunit ribosomal RNA
Source: RNAcentral